GGAGAGGUGCUCGAGUGGUUGAAGAGGCACGCCUGGAAAGCGUGUAUACCCCUAAAGGGUAUCGGGGGUUCGAAUCCCCCUCUCUCCGCAA
This 91-nucleotide transfer RNA is filed under the name Bacteroides uniformis. RNAcentral describes it as "tRNA-Ser". It matches the Rfam family "tRNA". From Rfam's summary of the family: Transfer RNA (tRNA) molecules are approximately 80 nucleotides in length. Their secondary structure includes four short double-helical elements and three loops (D, anti-codon, and T loops). Lineage: Bacteria; Pseudomonadati; Bacteroidota; Bacteroidia; Bacteroidales; Bacteroidaceae. RNAcentral also lists the same sequence under 30 other names. The record is from RNAcentral.